Molecule: ribosomal RNA, 253 nt
Filed under: uncultured bacterium
Lineage: Bacteria
Description: partial 16S ribosomal RNA
Rfam family: Bacterial small subunit ribosomal RNA
Source: RNAcentral
UACGGGGGGGGCAAGCGUUGUUCGGAAUUACUGGGCGUAAAGGGCUCGUAGGCGGCCAACUAAGUCAGACGUGAAAUCCCUCGGCUUAACCGGGGAACUGCGUCUGAUACUGGAUGGCUUGAGGUUGGGAGAGGGAUGCGGAAUUCCAGGUGUAGCGGUGAAAUGCGUAGAUAUCAGGAGGAACACCGGUGGCGAAGGCGGAUCUCUGGGCCGAUACUGACGCUGAGGAGCGAAAGCGUGGGGAGCGAACAGG